Molecule: non-coding RNA, 1496 nt
Organism: Ciona intestinalis (vase tunicate)
Lineage: Eukaryota; Metazoa; Chordata; Ascidiacea; Phlebobranchia; Cionidae
Source: RefSeq, a predicted model, not a curated record
AUAUAGUAUCCCAAGUAUGUAAUUGAUAUCUCUGCAUAAAAAUUCUGCUUUUCUGCAUAACUACUCACCUAUAAAGCACCAUAUGAUGAAACGAAUCCAGGUUACUGGUGAUAACUUGAGCAUCAGGAUUCUGCGGCUGCUGGCAAACCAGGAUAAUCAGAAUAAUGAGAAUUAUGAUGAAGAAAGCAAGAAGUAGAAGAGCCCACCAUGCUUUGUUAAUUAGGUGGUUGGCUGGAUGAAAGGGAGUUCCUUACACCAGCUGCUACAAUCACUGUCAUUGCAAGCACAAUGAACAAAGCUAUAAUGUCUGGGUAGGAGUUCGGGUCAUCGUGGCCGGCUGGAAAGAAAGAACUUGUAAAACGAUUUUGAUGACGUCUUGAUUACGUCAUCGCCAUGACGUCAUACCUGAUAACAAAGACACGAGUCCAGCGAUGAUAAAAGAGAAGAUGACACCUGGACCAGCAAUCUCCCUCGCCACCAUACCCGACACCACAUACAUUCCUGUGCCACCACAACUUCCCACGCCCAAUGACGUCAGAUCCAAUGUCGUCAAACAUUUCGGAAGCUUUGUUGACGUCACAGAUUUCCUUCUUUCGUCACGCAUGGCUUCGAUCGGCCGCUUUCUGAAAAGUCACGUAAUAAAGAAACUGAAUGACGUAACAAGAAGGUCUGCACCUGACACAAUGAACGUCUGCCACGUCACAAACAUACCUUGUUAAUCGCGCUGCCAUGCGAUGCGAAGAUUCUUUGAAGGAAUUCCAUCUCCAUGAACUUGGUUGAAAGCAAUUCAUUUUAACUUAACAUGGAACUAAAAGCCAGAUGGGGCGAGAAAAUUGAUGUAAAGGUGUCCCAUAUUUCCCCACCCUACUAUAUAUCCCACCACGACCAAGAGGCUUACGAAUGGAAUUCGGAAGUGGCCCUAAUUGUAGAAGCUCUUAGUGAAAUUGUUUCAUCGAUUCGAGCGAAAUGGAAGAGCCUCUUGCCACUAAUCCACGCGACAUGAAUUUUUUCACUUAUAGUUACAACUCCCUUUUGUACAGCGGUCAAUAGAAACACUCGUGGGGAAACGGACAGAUUUUCAAUCGAACAGCGAAUUUUCAAUUAACGCUUUUUUACCCGCGUGUGUUAACGUGAACAGUCCCCAAGCAACAUAUUAACACGAUUCGAUUUUAAGUUUUUAACAAAAUUAACUGUAUUUUUUACAAUUUUAUUUCUUACAGAAUUUUUUAGUGUUUGUAUACGGAAACUAUUAGGCAUCGUGUUCUAUGCGCAGUUUUUGCUUCACAAGAUUUUAAAAAGCUGUUCUGGAUGUAAUUCGUUUUACCCUUGCGUGGGCGGAAAACCACAGUCGUUAUAACACGGGUGUUCUGUUUCAUGCACCUUGUGCCUGGUUACGAGUUACCACUUAUUCAUGUAACUUUGUUAGUGAUUGUUGUUCUGUCAUAUUAACCAAUGACUUGCUGGGCGUUUUAAAAAUAAAAUGUCAAAACAUUGAA